RNAcentral lists this ribosomal RNA (440 nucleotides) under uncultured bacterium. Its description in RNAcentral is "partial 16S ribosomal RNA". It matches the Rfam family "Bacterial small subunit ribosomal RNA", at positions 338 to 795 of the family's 1533-position model. The record is from RNAcentral.
CCUACGGGAGGCAGCAGUGGGGAAUAUUGCACAAUGGGGGAAACCCUGAUGCAGCGACGCCGCGUGAAGGAAGAAGUAUUUCGGUAUGUAAACUUCUAUCAGCAGGGAAGAAAAUGACGGUACCUGACUAAGAAGCCCCGGCUAACUACGUGCCAGCAGCCGCGGUAAUACGUAGGGGGAAAGCGUUAUCCGGAUUUACUGGGUGUAAAGGGAGCGUAGGCGGUUUAGCAAGUCAGAAGUGAAAGCCCGGGGCUCAACUCCGGGACUGCUUUUGAAACUGUUGAACUAGAGUGCAGGAGAGGUGAGUGGAAUUCCUGGUGUAGCGGUGAAAUGCGUAGAUAUUAGGAGGAACACCAGUGGCGAAGGCGGCUUACUGGACUGUAAAUGACGCUGAGGCUCGAAAGCGUGGGGAGCAAACAGGAUUAGAUACCCCUGUAGUC